UGCAAUUAGAACAAUAGAAUUAGAGAAAGAUACGAAUAAUACCAAUCUUUAUUACCGAAGAUCCGAAUCCAGAGCGUUGUGCUCUACUUCUCUAAUUGCUAUCUAAUCAACCUCUAAACUUGAAGGAUUAGGGAGUAGCUAAUUCUAAUUCUCUGUGGGAGAGAGAUCUAAACCCUAACUUUGAUGGCUACCUCUGAAUAAUGAUUUCUCCUCCUCUCCUCCAGGGGGCAGGGGGUCUGGUUUUAUAGUCCCCUCAAGUGAACGUGAGCCAUUGGAUCAAACCGACAUAGAUUGUAUGGUUUAGAUUGAUCCUUUAGGUCGGUGGAGGAUUGUCCUGAAGCAGAGUCCUGUUUGGCCUCCAACCCUGGGCGGGCACCCAAGGGGGGUGGGCGGGCGCCCAGCCCCCGAGCCCGAUUCGCGUCCGUUCGUUCCCGUGGCUUCUGGAUCCUUCUAGAUUGAGGAAAAUUGCGCGGCACGUAAUUAUCUCGUUGUAAACAUGACAUGUGGGCCUUCUCUCCAUAUUUUCUGAUAAACCCCUGCAGAAAUAGAUAAACACCAAAACUCGUGGAAUUCUGUCAGAUAAAACCCUAAUUCUAGAUGUUUGUUUCAUGUUGAUCCUUUUUCAUGUUUAUUUGAUUAUUAAUUUUAGUACUUAAGGACCGUCAACAAACUCCCCCAAGCUUACCCUUUGCUCGUCCCUGAGCAAAUAGCUAAACUCAGAUGGAUCAGGAAUUGCUUCGAUGUUUUCUUUCCUGACAGGCACACAUGCUUUUAUACAAAAUUCUUCCAAAUUAAAGUGAAGUGUUAUGGAGUGUAGUACCUGCACUUAAAUCUUUAAGUAAUCGAAAGACAAAAUAGUUAAGUCAAGCACUAUCCCUCCUGUCUAUACUUCACCUUUGUUCCAGAGUUUUUCAUAAGUUUUUUUUUAAAAUAAAACUCAGAGUUCCCAGCAAUGAUUCUCUCAGGUCUCUCUAUAUGUGGUAUUUGUGGAUCCUUACCAUAAUGUCACUUACCUAUAGCUAAUGGAAUAUUUAAGUGGAGCUUAUAGGAGUGGAAAACAGCUCAUACAUAUGUUGUCUAAUCGAGCCAUGGAUCCAAAGGAACUCAGCAUAUAAUUAAAUCAAGAGGUGCAUGUGUGAUGGAGUAAAUGAUAGUGAAAAUGCAUAAGUGAUAAUAAAACUUAGUUCUCAUUGCUCCUCAUAUUGCUAUUUCCCUCCUCUCUGAUCUUUGCCUUGGGAGAACAUGGGCUAUCUUUUCUUUCUUCUUUUUUUCUCUCUUUUUUUUCAGGUGGGUAGUAGAUACCCCUAAUUCUACUCUCGGACACUUGUCCAUUUUUUCCGCUCAAGUGGGCAUUUUUGUACCUCUAAUUCUACUCCGGACACUUGUCCAUUUUUACCUCUCGUCUCACUCUUUUUCUUUCUUUUUCGAGGUUCCGGGCACUUGCCCCUUUUUAUUUCCUCGCAUAUUUUUGCAUAACUCAUGCCUCUUCUGCAUUGAAUCUUUUUAGAGAGAGAAUAACAAUAUUCGGGACAGUGAGUGAUAAUAUUUUUAGCAAUUUUAAUGAUUGGUAAUGGAUGCUGUGGUAGAUGUGUGCAAGUGAAUAUCUUAAUUUAACCACAUGAAAAGCUCCUAAGGGUCUACACAGCUCGAUCAAACUCAAUGUGAAUAUAGUAAAAGAUGUUAUAGCAAGUAUGGCUGUGGUAGGUAUUUUGUUAUGCUAGGAACUCAUCAUGUGAUUUGUAAGUUUUCAAAAUAAAUCUCUAGAACUUAGUGUAGUAGGAACAAGAUAAACAGUAGCUCAACUUUAUAUCAUGCCUUUCUCUUACCUAGACUUUAAUUUUAUGCUUCCCAAAGAUAGUAAUUUUAGUUUUAGUAAUUCCUGGAAGAACUCUAAUAUAAAAGCUAGGUGCUUGAGAGUAAGCAAACAGAGCAACUAUUCAUCAUUUCUAUCAUGCAUCUUUUUGGUCUUUUUAUUUUUUCUAGAGAUUAAACUUAGCAGGAAAAUAAAGCACACUUAUCUACUCUUUUUAUUUUGUUUUUAUGUUUAUAGAAGUGCAGUAAAUUAAAGCAAGAAAAUAUUUAUUUGGUUUUCUAAGUUUUUUUUUCUUUUAAAGAUAAAAUAAAUACUAAAACAGAAUAGAAUAAAUAAGAAGAGUUACUUGAUAAAUUUGGGAAGAAACUCCCCCAAGCUGGAUGUUGACGUCGGUCUUACCCGAUGUUCCAGAACCGCAUCAUGGUUGUGAUGUUGUCGUUCAUUGUUGUUGUAUCUUGUCUCAGCUCUUGCACUGCAGCGGCAUGGUCCUGGUUCCAUUUUUGUUGCUCUUCCAGGAGUCUUCCAUGUUCUGCUUGCGUGUUCUGGAUGUCGAGGAGUGUGUUGUCGGUACAAGUGAAGAAAGCACCGGCCUCUUGAUAGUAGUCAUUCGUGAAUGCGUAGGAGGCGUCGGAGUAUCGUCCUGCAUCAAAUUGUGGUGGAGGUCUGGAUCCUGAAGCUCCAUAUGGAUCAGUGGAGUACCUGCCCGUAUGAAAAGGCGGGUUUGUCCACUGGUGAUCUUGGCUCUCCGGCCAUGUCUCCUCUGUUGGCUCUUGUGGUUGCGCAUGACGAGCCCAUGGGUCUCGAAGGACUCGUGGAUUGUAAUCGCAAUAAUGCAGGUGCGCUACUUCUUCUGGUCCAGGGUCAGCUCCAUACCAAGUGCGUUCUCGGUGAGUGGUUAUCCUUUCAGAUGCCACUCGCUGUGGAAUUCUCUGGUUCACUGGUGUUGCUGCAAUCUCAAUCAAAAAGUUUUGCACAGAGUAGAGGCCAAGGUUCGGGUUAGGUAACCGAAUCUUGCCUUUAUCAUCAUAUAGCAUAUACAUUAUAUUCCCCUCUUUCUUUAACAUCUGAGCUUGUCUAAAUGUGUCAUAGCCAUGAUAAAUUCUUAAUUCUUCUAUGAAGUCUAACGAUGAAUUUUCUAGUAAGUGAAGAUUAGUGGCUAGACGAGUGAUAAGUGAAGUACAUCCUACUGGUCCCUGAAGACUAGGUAUACUAAGCCAAUGUGAAACUAAUAGUGUAACAGGUGAAGUGGGUACUUUACUAAUAGCAGCAUAUAAAAGUUGUAAAUCUCCUACUCUUACUUUCCUAAUAUCGUCACGAUAGAAAAGAUUGUACCCAAGCCAUUUGUGGAACAUCCUAAGAGUGGGGUGUUCCAUGUCACUGGUUCGGGCUUGACUGUAAAAAUUAUCUCUAGAUAUUUCUCUCCAAAACUGGUGUCUCUCAAAAUUGGGUAAAUCGGAGUCAAUGUUCAGGAUGCAUCUUGAAGAGAAACCAAGAUGGUCGCUCAGCUCUCUCCAAGAUAACAUAAUUUCCUGUUUAAACAUCCAAAAAACAAUUCCCCCCUCAUAGUAUUGUAAAGUGCAAAGAAAUUCGAGGGUGAGAAGACGAGAACCCAGCUCAGUUAUAUUCCAAAAAUUUGUCCAACCCAUCAUUUGAAAAAUUAAGUCAAAUUUAGUGUCCAUACCUGUUUCUCGUAGUAGGAUCGGAUCGAUAGUAGGGGUGUGAAUGAAAUCUUUAUUCUUCAAUUGCUGAUAAACUUCCUUCUCUCUUCGGGUCUUCAGUCCUAGGUCUCCUAUCUUGAGAAGGACCUUAACUUGCUGACCUGAUGAAGAUGAUGGAGCUUGUGUGGGUGUCGGAUUGACGCUCAUCUCUGAUGGCUGUGAGGAGUGUCGGGCGGAACUCCUUGUACCAAUGUUCUUGAGAGCCUUCCCUGCAUUCUUCACCUUCUUAAACAUCCUGCAAACACAAGUUGGCAAAAACACAACUGGUGGAAAAUGUAAGAUAAAAUGUUAGUGGUCAGCUGUCCGGAGUGUCAGUAGUCCAGGGGUUAGUCGUUCAAGACAAGUUUCUAUUUUGGCAGAGCCUCCCUCCUAAACAACUUUUACUUCCACUUGGACAGCGGGAUCACUAUUUGCUAGGUGACAAUCACUCUCUCAAAAGAACUCCAACCUUCCCUUCCACUCUUCUCUUUCUCUCUACUUUCUUCUCUUCACUACAAAAACUCCUUCUCGGGAAACUGAGACUUGUGUGGUUUUCUGGAAUGUGUGUGUGAAGAGAAGGGGAGCUGGAGGUGGCCUUUUAUAGGCUGAGCAGGGGACAGGGCGGGCGCCCAAGGUAGGUGGGCGGGCGCCCACCACUGGUGUCCAUCCUGGGUGUGCUUCCUCCACUUGCUUCCUUGCUUUGAUCUUACGCAAAAUAAUGUUGUGUUGGUAGUGGUUGAACGGUGGAAAGAUGUCAGGUGAGUGGAAAUAUAUUGGUGGAUGAAAUUAUAUGAUGGGAUGUAUGUGAGGUGAAGUGUAUGACAUGUGGGACCCAAAGAGUGUGGGUCAUGCUUCUAGAAGAUCAAUAUAAUGCAGGAAAAUCUAUGAGAAUUGAAACUUAAUGAUAAUGGAAAAUAUUUUUGUGCCUCCACAAUAAUUAAUAAAUAUGGGUUGUUACACACCACAAAUAUUAUUUAUAUGGGGCUUUUUGAUUAUUAUAAUUAUGCUAUGAAUAUAUAUGACUAAUGCAAGAUUUAACUAUGCAAGAAUUUAAAUAUGAGAAAAUUAAUAAUGCGGAUAAUUACCGAUUUACCUCCCGGUGAGGCUUUGGGAUUUUUAGGUCCCCCAAGCUGGACCUCCAAAUCUUUUAAUCUUCUGAGUUACCUUCCUCCGGAGAUGGUGUCUCCAGUGGUUCUUCAUGAACUUCCUUUACUGUAGAGUCUCUCUCUGGUCUGGGUUUGAAUGUGAAGUGUUCUUCUUGACCGUUUAUGUUGAACUUGAUUUCUCCUUUCCCGACAUCAAUGUGGGCAUUGGCAGUGCUCAGAAAUGGCCUUCCAAGGAUGAUGGACACUUUUGAGUCAGGACUCAUGUCCAGUACUACGAAGUCUACUGGCACCAGGAAAUCUCUGAUCUUGACUGGAAUGUUCUCGGCGAUGCCCAACGGGUGUCGAACCGAUUGAUCCGCUAGUUGUAGGCACAUUGAUGUUGGUUCUAAGGUUGCAUGAUCAAGCUUUUUGUAGACUGAUGCUGGCAUCACACUGACACUUGCUCCGAGAUCACAAAGUGCAUUGUUGAAGUGUUGGUUUCCGAUCGAGCAAUCUAUAGUGGGACAUCCAGGAUCUUCCUUCUUCUUUGGUGGUUUAUUGAGGAUGGCCGCACUACAUUCUUUUGUCAGCUUGAUAACCUCAGUGGUGGGUAGUGGUCUCUUCUUGUUAAGAAUAUCUCUGAUGUACUUUGCAUAUGUAGGUACCUGUAUGGCAUCGAGUAGAGGUAUGUUGACAUAUAAUUUCUGAAUGACCUCUACAAACUUACCAAACUGCUCAUCCGACUGCAGUCCUCUGUUUCUUCUAGGAAAUGGCAAAUAGUUGGUGUCGUAAAAAUCUUUCCUCAUUUCUCCAGUUCUUGGUGGUUGUAGCAGAUCUUCUGCUCCAACUGGGCUUUCUUCUUCUAUCACUGCUGGUUGCACUGGUGCUGAUGUUCUUUGUUUCUCUUUUGGGUAUGGUGGAUCUCUGGUAGCUUUACCUCCUCUAGUAGUUAUAUUCUUUACCUGCUCAAUGUUAGUAGCAACAGGCAGUGCAGCAGCUAACUUUAUUAAUUUAAGCUCUACCCUUUUAUUAAGAGUGUUUUGCUCAUCAAAGGCAGUUAGUAGAAAAUCCAUUUUAUUGUAUAUAUCUUUUAGAGAUGAUUCAUUUGUAUCUAGCCUUUGUUUAACUUCAUCAUUAAUUUUGGUUUGUUGAGCAAUUAUCUCUUUUAAUGAAAGUUGCUUGACAGUAUUACCUGAAUUCAUACCUUUGCUAUUGGGUUGACUAGAAGUUGGUUGAUAUUUGUAUGCUGUCUCAAUGGCCCUUUGAUCUUCUUUAAACUUGGCCCUCUGGUCAAUCCAAUGGAGCAAAUUGUCCAUCUUAGUUGAUAAUGCUUUUACUUCUUCUGGUAUUUCUUCAGUUUGAUGACAUUGUUGAGCUUUGAUUUUCUGCUAUCUUAUCCAAAAGUAUCUCUGCUUUUCCAAUUGUAAGCUCCAAGAAUGAUCCUUUAGCAGAUGCAUCUAGGCACUCACGAGCCUUCUGGGUUAAUCCAUGGUAGAAGGUCUGCAUAAGUAACCAUGUGGCCAUUCCAUGGUGAGGACAAUCUGAUAUGUAUCCUUGAAAACGCUCUCAUGCUUCUGAAAUGGCUUCUGUCUUCUGCUGUUGGAAACUGACAAUAUUUCCUCUUAAGGCAGUUGUUUUGCCUAUAGGGAAAAACUUUGAUAGAAAGGCAUCUGACAAGUUCGCCCAUUUGUUGAUGUUAUCUUGAUGAGUGUAGAACCACUUCCUCGCUUUUCCUUCUAGUGAGAAUGGAAAAAGGCGAAGCAGUAUGACGUCUUUGUCAACUCCGUUGAUGUGGAUUGUGCUUCCAAUCUCUAAGAAAUUCUGCAAGUGUGCACUAGCAUCUUCAUGUGCCUUUCCACUGAAUUGUGUAGCUUGCACCAAAUUGAUGAGGCUUGACUUGAGCUCAAACUCGGGUAUUCCUUCUUCUACUGCAAAUCUUGGACCAGUUGGAAUGUUGUCAAGACUUGGAGCAGAGAAUUCUUGUAAGGUCUUUUCUGCCAUAGCUUUAGCAAUUGGUAGCUAGCUUCUUCUUCUCUUGAUUGCUUUGGUUCUGAUGAUGGAGAGUUGAAUGUACCCAAAGUCAAUCCUGUUAUACCCUGUAUAAAAAUAUAAUCAUAGAAAAACAACAGGGUGAACCUGCCAAAGCAGCGGUGCCUUGUUAUGAUUUCUCACUUAGUAGCUGUUGUAUGCAAUUAUUUCUCUAUAGUCUAGUCUAAUAUUUUAUAUGAAUAACCUUGAUUGAUUUUCUGGCUUCCCUUAAUAUUACUCCUUUAUUCCCCUUUUACGACUUAUUCCUGAGACUCAUAUAAUUCCUAUAAGUGUUCUAACAUGUCCCCGGCAACGGCGCCAGAAAUGCUUGUUGACACUAGCUAACACCACUUAAAUACUAGGUUGUCAUCCCUAGCAUGGCGCCAGAGUGUACAAAGGUAUUUAUGAAUGUAAAGGCUCUCUAGAAAAUAAUCUAUUCUAUCCGCAAGCGCACAGAUAAAACACCUCAUUGUAGCAUUUCACCAGGAUAAGUAUUCCAGGUAUCGUUAUUUAUAAUUUUGCUUAGGGGAUCUCAAGAAAGAUGGAAUUAAAAUAAAAGGGGGCAAAAUCUAUCAAGGCAUAGACUAGAGAUAAACUUGCAAGAACAUGAUUACUAAUGAGAAACUCGUCACACAGUCACAUACUUUAGCAGGGGGUAAACCAUAAAGAUAAUGAUAAUAAAGUAUAAGUUCAUGGGUAGAUAGCACAGCGAUUAGAAAAUAGACUACUCCUCAUAUAUGUAGGUGAUGUCGGAUUAGCUAGAGAAUGGAUUCUAAGUUAUCUACUAACUACUAAGUCAUAAUCUACUCUAGUUAUCUACAAGAUCAUAUAUAGCAUAAAAGACUCUUCAUUCAUGUAUAAGGAACAUUGAUAAAGUAAAUCAGAACAUCGCAUGACUUACUCCACAAUACCGGUUCUGCCUGUCCUAUCAACGGAGGGUGGACUAUAUAAGAAUCAACGAAGCUGUCACUAUCACGAACUACCACACGACUCGGCCAAUAGGAUACAUUUGCAGAUAAAUAACAUCUAAGCACCACGCUCACAUGUGAUCUAUCACCUAACUCCCUCGCGUCAAGAGCUAAGCGCUUUGCAAACUUAUACAUAAACUCAUUAUCAAUUAGAACUAUAUCAAAUAUAGAACUAGAGCAAACUAAGAACAUAAUAAUUAAAGACAUAAUGCAAUUAGAACAAUAGAAUUAGAGAAAGAUAUGAAUAAUACCAAUCUUUAUUACCGAAGAUCCGAAUCCAGAGCGUUGUGCUCUACUUCUCUAAUUGCUAUCUAAUCAACCUCUAAACUUGAAGGAUUAGGGAGUAGCUAAUUCUAAUUCUCUGGGGGAGAGAGAUCUAAACCCUAACUUUGAUGGCUACCUCUGAAUAAUGAUUUCUCCUCCUCUCCUCCAGGGGCCAGGGGGUCUGGUUUUAUAGUCCCCUCAAGUGAACGUGAGCCAUUGGAUCAAACCGACAUAGAUUGUAUGGUUUAGAUUGAUCCUUUAGGUCGGUGGAGGAUUGUCCCGAAGCAGAGUCCUGUUUGGCCUCCAACCCUGGGCGGGCGCCCAGCCCCCGAGCCCGAUUCGCGUCCCGUUCGUUCCCGUGGCUUCUGGAUCCUUCUAGAUUGAGGAAAAUUGCGCGGCACGUAAUUAUCUCGUUGUAAACAUGACAUGUGGGCCUUCUCUCCAUAUUUUCUGAUAAACCCCUGCAGAAAUAGAUAAACACCAAAACUCGUGGAAUUCUGUCAGAUAAAACCCUAAUUCUAGAUGUUUGUUUCAUGUUGAUCCUUUUUCAUGUUUAUUUGAUUAUUAAUUUUAGUACUUAAGGACCGUCAACAAUCCUUUUCUUUAUUUAUUUGAUAAUUAAAUUUGAUACUUAAGGACCGUCAACAAACUCCCCCAAGCUUACCUCUUGCUCGUCCCUGAGCAAGGAUAGACUCAGCUAUGGAUCAUAAGUUGUUGCAAUAUCUUUAAAAAUUGACGGUACACAUGCUUUUUAAAUAAGAUCUCAUCUCUGAGUUAGAGUAAACUGUCAAGACUUAAAACUUACUUACUUUACCUUCACCAUGGGACUUGUAACCGUCACUUCUGUCUUGAGUGGUUAAAAGAUAGAACAGUCUAGUCAAGUGCCAUGUCUCUUAUUCUUGAUCAGCUAUAGCUCUGGUGUUUUUGCAGAUUUUCAAAUAAAACUCAGAGAUUCCUUGUAUGAUUCUCUCAGAUCUCUCUUUUGUAGUAUUUCUAGAUCCUGUGAUGGUAUACGCCUUCUCUCAAAAUAUGUGGUAUUUGUGGUAUAAGGCAUAGUGACAUUGCCUUCUCUCUCACCCUACUCUAAUAAGGCUUUAAUAUCUGGAGCUCAUAGGUGAGAGAUAAAGUAUACAUACUGACAAGACAUUUAUUGCAUAGUCAAACCAUGGAUCCAAAGAAACGAAUCAAUAAGCCAAAUCAAGAUGUGCAUGUGUGGCGUGUAUAGUGAUGAUGGUGAUAACAAUGGUGGAAGUCUAAUUCUACUUUUGCUCUUUGAGGGGAUACAUACCUUCCUUGCUUUUUGAAAUUUUAUGAGGAGAAUGAGAUGCUCUUCUUUUUCUUUUCUCUCAGGUGGGUAUCUUGUACCCCUAAUUCUACUGUCGGACACUUGUCCAUUUUUACCUCUCGUCUCACUUUUUCUUUUCUUUCGAGGUUCCGGGCACUUGCCCCUUUUUAUUUCCUGAUAUCUCUUUUUUUUAGAGCAAUCAUCUCAUGAGAUAAGAUAGCAAGUGGUAGUAACAAGAUAACUUGAGCAUUUAUUUCACAAGGGAAAACAGAAAUAUUUUUUUCUAUUCUCUCCCGGAUUAGGAGUAGAAUAUUUUUGGGUGAUUCUGGAGAUGGAAAUGGAUGGAUAUAUGUGGAUGGUACUUCCGGAGUAGAAGUAGCAUAUAUGAGUGAACGUGCAAGUGAAAUCUUGAUUUAACCACAGGACAAGCUCCUAAGGUCUACACAGCUUGACCACACUCAAUGCUCAUAAGCAGUAAAUAGUAAAUGUGUGGUUCAAAGUCUAGCAAGCAUGUAUAUAUGGCUGUGGUAGGAAUUUAAAACUCUCAUCAUACAGGAACUCAUCAUGCAACAUUUUAAAGAUUUUCAAAGAUAAAAUUCUCCAGAAUUCUAGCAUCUCUAGAAACAGAUAAACAGCAGCUCAACCUUCCCAUAUCAUAUCCGUUAACAACUUAGACUUCAGAUCAAGUUUUCAUCCCACAAGUUUAGGUCUAGAGCAAGCUUUAAAUUAUAACACUUAUAUCUAAACUUGAAAGAGAACUUAAAAUGUGCAAAUUAGGCAGAGCAACUAUUCAUCAUAUCCAUGCUAGUGUUUUAUUUAGAUACAGAUUAGCAUAGCCACUUUAUUUAUUUAUUAAACACACUAAGCAAAAGAGAUAUAUAUAUAUAUAUAAGCACAAAAUCUUUAUUUGGUUUUUCAUAGUUAUGUAUAUUUAUAUUCUAAUAUAAUAUAAGUAUAAAGAUAGAUAGAAAUACUUAUCGAGAUAAAUGGGGGUGCUCUCCCCCAAGCUGAAUUUUGAUGUAAUUUCUCUUGAUGUAGCUAGCAGGUGGCAGAGGUGUAUUUGAAAGUCAGCAGCAUUCUGACAGCGAUUAGAAUGUCCUCCGUCUGCUAGUCUUCUUGAUUCUUAAAUUCUGUGGAGCUCAAAUAGACAACAAAGCUUGUGGAACUGAUUAAGUGUUAGCAUAAAUAUCUAGCCUUUAUCAUGUUGAGACUCCUUAAUAAUUAUUACUCCCUGUUUUUUUUUAUAUUUUUGUUUUAUAAAGUAGAAAUGAAAUAUUUAUUUUAUUUUUAUGCCACCACAGUGAAUGUACUUAUGGGUUUUAUGCCACUCGUAUACUCACAUAGGGCUUACUAUUUUUUGCAUUUUUAUUUUCUUUUUAGGAUAGCAUGAACAUGAUUAACUAAAUAAACUAUUUGAAAUAAUUGAAAGGGAAAGGAUAACUACCAAGUUUACCUCUUGGCAAGGCUUUCAGUGUUUUUAAGUCCUCCGAACGGGACUCUCCUCUUUCCUUAAUUGUCCUGAGGUUCGUUGGGUGGCGGAGUCGGUACUUCCGGCGGCGCCUCCUCUUCAUGUAUAGUUAUCUUCUCUUUCCAUACCUGACUCGGUGCUUCAGUCUCCUCUGGAUAAUUCUGUUUAAACUCUACGUCUUCUGACCUUAUCACUUCUCCUUCGUAGUCUGCCCAUCCGUCCUUGAUGAUCUGCCUCCUCUGGUUGCAGUUGCGUCUCUUUCUGACCUGCUUAGAUUCUUCAACGAUAUAGUUAGGGUCAGUAAAAUAACGGCGUACCUUCUCUGAGGGAAAGUGCAUAUGGACUUCUCCAGUUCCAAUGUAGAUAAUUGCUUUAACAGUGCUGAGGAACGGUCUUCCAAGGAUGAUGGGUGGAUCUAUUCGUCUUCUCCCAUGUCAAUAACCUGAAAGUCUGUGUAGACAAAAUGAUCGUCUAUUUUGACUGGGACAUCAGAUACUGUUCCUUUAACUUCUCGAAAUGUCUGAUCUGCCAUCUGGAGCUGAAUGUAUGUUGGUUUUAGGGGCAUGGUCCCGAACAAGAGCCGAUAGGUGACUGUGGCCAUUAUGUUGACGCCAGAUCCGGUGUCACAAGUCGUCUUGUAGAAGUUGUAUCCAUUUAUGGAGUAGGAGAUGCUUGGCAUUCCUGGGUCGUCCUUCUUAUUCAAAAACGGUGACUUAAGUUGUUGAUCUUGGCCUCUAUGAACUGCAGUGACCAUCUUAGCUGACUCGGUCCACACUUGCUUGUUCCUGUUCCUCCUAUUGGUCCUCUUCCUUGAUUCACGUCUGGAUUGAUCUGGGAUUUGUGUAGUCUUGUUCUUGAAGAAAAAUGUCUCCUUCCUCCCUUUGAUGUAAAAACUGAUCUUGGCAGCACUGGCGUAGAUGAUAGCUCCCGUGGUGUUCAAGAAUGGCCUCCCUAAGAUGAUGGGUGCUCUCUCAUCAUUACCGGUCUCUACCACUACGAAGUCUGCUAGGGCAUACAAGGUACCAACUCAGACACAAAGGUUCUUCACUAUUCCUUUUGGAAAAGUUAUCGUCUGAUCUGCAAACUGCAAACACAUGGUUGUCUCUAAUAAAGGAUAUGUAAAGAAUUUCUCAUAGAGUACCCUGGGUAUAAUGUUGACACUAGAGCCAAAGUCACAG
Molecule: long non-coding RNA, 11786 nt
Filed under: Sorghum bicolor (sorghum)
Lineage: Eukaryota; Viridiplantae; Streptophyta; Magnoliopsida; Poales; Poaceae
Description: long non-coding RNA (SBIC_LNC017199)
Rfam family: Plant small nucleolar RNA R71 (bases 6119-6225)
Source: RNAcentral